This 1324-nucleotide long non-coding RNA is filed under the name Equus caballus (horse). RNAcentral's name for it is "lncRNA (ENSECAG00000048069.1)". The record is from RNAcentral. Lineage: Eukaryota; Metazoa; Chordata; Mammalia; Perissodactyla; Equidae.
CUCCAAAUUCCUUCUAUUUCAAUUUCUUGUAUCACCAACUUGAAAGGGAGUGUCCAAGUAAACUUGCUUGUUGAACUGGAAUUAUGCAUUUAGUAAAUCAAUUUGUGAUGACUCCAUUUCUAAGUUUUCAUAUAUCUUCAUCUGAUACAUAAGAGCCACUAAGAUAAUACUUCACUUAGUAAAGGUCACUUAUCAGGCAUUAUGAGCAGUGUAGAUUCUAGGUAGGAAACAUCUAAACCAAGAACAUGAAUGUAGCCACAAAGGAUGUCCUAGCAGCAAAAAGAUGUAUCUUUAAAAGUCUACAAUACGGGCCAGCCUGGUGGCAUAGUGGUUAAGUUCGCACACUCUGCUUCAGCGGCCUGGGGUUCAUGGGGUUGAAUCCCAAGUGCAGACCUACACACCACUCAUCAAUCCAUGCUGUGGCGGUGUCCCACAUGCAAAAUAGAGCAAGACUGGCACAGAUGUUAGCUCAGGGACAGUCUUCCUCAAGCAAAAAGAGGAAGUUUGGCAAUAGAUGUUAGCUCAGGGCCAAUCUUCCUCACCAAAAAAAUAAAUAUAUAAAAAUAAAAGUCUACAGUAAACCUUUGCCCAGAGCCCACUUUUUUUUAUCUUGAAAAGACUUGUGACAAAUGAGUUUUUCUGAUUUUUAAACCUACAACAGAUUAAAAAGGCAAGCACAUGGAGUGACGUCUGAUGCCUCUCUGAAGAAAGAGUUGGAAAACAGUAUUAACAAAUCAGGGAAAUAUUUGUUAAUUACUGAGGGAAAAAUAGUAACUUGGAAUAUCCCAGCAGACACCGCCUUAACCAGUGAUCAAGGUUAACAUCAUCAGGAAUAGGACAAAUUUCAUCAUGAACCCCUGAUAUGUACCAAAGAAAGGGCAUAACCUUACCUCUGUGAUAUUUUUGCCAAAAAUGUAUAACCGCAACAAAAUCAUUAGAAAAGUCAGACAAAUUGAAAGACAUUCAAUGAAGUAAGUGACCAGGACUCAUCAAAAGUGACAGGAUCAUGGUGGAUAAGGACAGAUGGAAGGUCUGUCACAGAAGAGAGGAGACAAAGAAGGAAAAAGAUUGAACUCAUCGUGAGAUUCUGGGUUGACUCCUGGACCAGAUAAAGAGUGACAGUCAGAGUUUUCACCCAAAUCCCCUGUGACAUGGCCAUGAAUGGAACAAAGAGUGGAAAGCUCCACUGUUCCGGGAAACUUAAUAAGCUGUGGAAUCAUGCUUUUUUCUUAGCCUGUCAUUUAGCAAAUAAGCCUAAAUGUCUUUAAAGUAUACCAUUAUACUUCACUGACUGAGGGAAGCUUGUAACAAGUAUUUGCUGAAC